RNAcentral lists this ribosomal RNA (497 nucleotides) under uncultured bacterium. RNAcentral describes it as "bacterial SSU rRNA". It matches the Rfam family "Bacterial small subunit ribosomal RNA", at positions 28 to 509 of the family's 1533-position model. The record is from RNAcentral.
GAUGAACGCUAGCGGCAGGCUUAAUACAUGCAAGUCGAGGGGCAUCAAGGUACACGAAAGUGUAUUGUUGGCGACCGGCGGACGGGUGAGUAAUAGGUAGGUAACCUACCUCAUACUGAGGCAUAGCUGGGAGAAAUUCCAGGUAAUUCCUCAUGAGGUUAUAUGACACAUGUGAUAUAAUCAAAGGUAUCGCAAGGUACUGGUAUGAGAUGGGCUUACUGACCAUUAGCUAGUUGGUGAGAUAAGAGCUCACCAAGGCGAAGAUGGUUAGGGGUUUUGAGAGAGAGAUCCCCCACAUUGGAACUGAGAUACGGUCCAGACUCCUACGGGAGGCAGCAGUAGGGAAUAUUGGGCAAUGGGCGAAAGCCUGACCCAGCCAUGCCGCGUGAAGGAAGACGGCCUUAUGGGUUGUAAACUUCUUUACUAUACGAAUAGAGGUUAGUACGAGUUACUAAUAGGAAGGUAGUAUAGCAAAAAGCACCGGCUAACUCCGUGCC